This 75-nucleotide transfer RNA is filed under the name Bacteroides xylanisolvens SD CC 2a. RNAcentral's name for it is "tRNA-Gly". It matches the Rfam family "tRNA". From Rfam's summary of the family: Transfer RNA (tRNA) molecules are approximately 80 nucleotides in length. The record is from RNAcentral. RNAcentral also lists the same sequence under 1 other name. Lineage: Bacteria; Pseudomonadati; Bacteroidota; Bacteroidia; Bacteroidales; Bacteroidaceae.
GCGGAAAUAGCUCAGUUGGUAGAGCAUAACCUUGCCAAGGUUAGGGUCGCGAGUUCGAGUCUCGUUUUCCGCUCC